Molecule: ribosomal RNA, 433 nt
Filed under: uncultured bacterium
Lineage: Bacteria
Description: partial 16S ribosomal RNA
Rfam family: Bacterial small subunit ribosomal RNA
Source: RNAcentral
AACGAACGCUGGCGGCAUGCCUAAUACAUGCAAGUCGAACGAGAUCUUCGGAUCUAGUGGCGCACGGGUGCGUAACGCGUGGGAAUCUGCCCUUGGGUUCGGAAUAACUUCUGGAAACGGAAGCUAAUACCGGAUGAUGACGUAAGUCCAAAGAUUUAUCGCCCAAGGAUGAGCCCGCGUAGGAUUAGGUAGUUGGUGAGGUAAAGGCUCACCAAGCCGACGAUCCUUAGCUGGUCUGAGAGGAUGAUCAGCCACACUGGGACUGAGACACGGCCCAGACUCCUACGGGAGGCAGCAGUAGGGAAUAUUGGACAGUGGGCGAAAGCCUGAUCCAGCAAUGCCGCGUGAGUGAUGAAGGCCUUAGGGUUGUAAAGCUCUUUUACCCGGGAUGAUAAUGACAGUACCGGGAGAAUAAGCUCCGGCUAACUCCGUG